GAUGAACGCUGGCGGCGUGCCUAAUACAUGCAAGUCGAGCGAACGGACGAGAAGCUUGCUUUUCUGAUGUUAGCGGCGGACGGGUGAGUAACACGUGGAUAACCUACCUAUAAGACUGGGAUAACUUCGGGAAACCGGAGCUAAUACCGGAUAAUAUUUUGAACCGCAUGGUUCAAAAGUGAAAGACGGUCUUGCUGUCACUUAUAGAUGGAUCCGCGCUGCAUUAGCUAGUUGGUAAGGUAACGGCUUACCAAGGCAACGAUGCAUAGCCGACCUGAGAGGGUGAUCGGCCACACUGGAACUGAGACACGGUCCAGACUCCUACGGGAGGCAGCAGUAGGGAAUCUUCCGCAAUGGGCGAAAGCCUGACGGAGCAACGCCGCGUGAGUGAUGAAGGUCUUCGGAUCGUAAAACUCUGUUAUUAGGGAAGAACAUAUGUGUAAGUAACUGUGCACAUCUUGACGGUACCUAAUCAGAAAGCCACGGCUAACUACGUGCCAGCAGCCGCGGUAAUACGUAGGUGGCAAGCGUUAUCUGGAAUUAUUGGGCGUAAAGCGCGCGUAGGCGGUUUUUUAAGUCUGAUGUGAAAGCCCACGGCUCAACCGUGGAGGGUCAUUGGAAACUGGAAAACUUGAGUGCAGAAGAGGAAAGUGGAAUUCCAUGUGUAGCGGUGAAAUGCGCAGAGAUAUGGAGGAACACCAGUGGCGAAGGCGACUUUCUGGUCUGUAACUGACGCUGAUGUGCGAAAGCGUGGGGAUCAAACAGGAUUAGAUACCCUGGUAGUCCACGCCGUAAACGAUGAGUGCUAAGUGUUAGGGGGUUUCCGCCCCUUAGUGCUGCAGCUAACGCAUUAAGCACUCCGCCUGGGGAGUACGACCGCAAGGUUGAAACUCAAAGGAAUUGACGGGGACCCGCACAAGCGGUGGAGCAUGUGGUUUAAUUCGAAGCAACGCGAAGAACCUUACCAAAUCUUGACAUCCUUUGACAACUCUAGAGAUAGAGCCUUCCCCUUCGGGGGACAAAGUGACAGGUGGUGCAUGGUUGUCGUCAGCUCGUGUCGUGAGAUGUUGGGUUAAGUCCCGCAACGAGCGCAACCCUUAAGCUUAGUUGCCAUCAUUAAGUUGGGCACUCUAAGUUGACUGCCGGUGACAAACCGGAGGAAGGUGGGGAUGACGUCAAAUCAUCAUGCCCCUUAUGAUUUGGGCUACACACGUGCUACAAUGGACAAUACAAAGGGCAGCGAAACCGCGAGGUCAAGCAAAUCCCAUAAAGUUGUUCUCAGUUCGGAUUGUAGUCUGCAACUCGACUACAUGAAGCUGGAAUCGCUAGUAAUCGUAGAUCAGCAUGCUACGGUGAAUACGUUCCCGGGUCU
This 1372-nucleotide ribosomal RNA is filed under the name uncultured bacterium. RNAcentral's name for it is "bacterial SSU rRNA". It matches the Rfam family "Bacterial small subunit ribosomal RNA", at positions 28 to 1381 of the family's 1533-position model. The record is from RNAcentral.